UACGGGGGGGGUAAGCGUUGUUCGGAAUUACUGGGCGUAAAGGGCUCGUAGGCGGCCAACUAAGUCAGACGUGAAACCCCUCAGCUUAACUGGGGAACUGCGUCUGAUACUGGAUGGCUUGGAUCCGGGAGAGGGAUGCGGAAUUCCAGGUGUAGCGGUGAAAUGCGUAGAUAUCUGGAGGAACACCGGUGGCGAAGGCGGCAUCCUGGACCGGUAUUGACGCUGAGGAGCGAAAGCCAGGGGAGCAAACGGG
RNAcentral lists this ribosomal RNA (253 nucleotides) under uncultured bacterium. RNAcentral's name for it is "partial 16S ribosomal RNA". It matches the Rfam family "Bacterial small subunit ribosomal RNA", at positions 524 to 776 of the family's 1533-position model. The record is from RNAcentral.